UUUACCGCUUCGUCUACUUGCUACUGCAUUUCCGAAGUUCCAACAAAUUUUUCAAUGGCGGAUGGAACAACCAGGAAAUUCUCAGCUUCUUUUGCAAGAGCUCACACCCGAAAACCUAAAUCAAAUUCUCCUUCAAAAAACUCAGGUGAGCUUUCAUUUUUUUUCUGCCUCAAUUUUAAGACUGGCAUUUCGCUUGGUGUUUGUCGAAUUUCUUCAUCAAAUGCCCAUUCCAGUUUACUAAAUUUAGUUUUUUAGGGUUUAUGCGUAUCAUUUAGUUGAUUAUAUUUCUCUUGCAUAGCAUAUGUAAGCUUCAGUGUUGCCUAAUCGUAGAAAUUGGUGAUUUUGAUCUUGGGAAUUGACUGAUUACAGCAAACUAGAGCAUUGACUCGGAAAUUAGGGCUAUAACUGAUCGGAUUGUUGCUCAAAUCCAUAAAAUUAGGGCUAAAGAUGAUUUUCAAUUACAUUUAGGGCCAUGGUGUGUGAUAUUUGUGCCCUCAAUUUUCAAUUGCUUAAGGGAUCUUCAAGAAACUUCUAUUGGUUUUCUUUGUGGGAAUCUUGGCUUGGGCUUAUCAGGCAACGAAUCCUCCCCCGCCGAAGAUCUGUGGCUCGAAAGACGGGCCUCCGGUUACAGCUACAAGAAUACAGCUCAAGGAUGGAAGGCACUUGGCCUACAAAGAAUUUGGGGUACAAAAGGAUAAUGCGAAGCACGAGAUCGUGCUUGUCCAUGGCUUCGGUGCUUGCAGGCAUGACAUGUCUCUUUUAACUGCAGGGCUCUCCCCCCGGAUAUUGUCGAAAGCCGAGGGAUUUAUUUUGUUUCGUUUGAUCGACCUGGUUAUGGAGAGAAUGAUCCUAACCCUUCCGCGACACUUAGAAGCAUUUCUUCUGACAUCGAGGAGCUUGCUGAUCAGUUGGCUUUAGGAUCCAAAUUUUACGUUGCUGGAUUAUCCUUGGGUGGGGAGAUUGUGUGGACCUGCCUCAAGUACAUUCCUCACAGGAGCAGCUCUGGUUGGACCAGUGGUGAAUUAUUGGUGGAAAGGUAUUCCUUCGAACCUCACUGCAGAAGCAUAUAAGCAGCUUCUUCCUCAGGACCAAUGGGAGCUUCGUGUAGCUCAGUAUGCACCGUGGCUUAACUACUGGUGGAACACCCAAAAGCUGUUUCCUGGUGUGAGUCUUAUCAGUCUCAGCCCCAAAAUUUUCUCUCGUCAAGAUGCAGAACUAAUGCCAAGGUUGCACUCUAUACGACAGGAGUAUGUGGUAAUGGUUACUAUAUUCUUGAAUGCACACAACAGGAAAAGUGAAAUACAAACUAUUACUAGUUUUUUAAAAAAUUGGUCUUCUGCUUAUGUGUUUACUUGUGCUUAUAUCCGAACCUGAAAAUCCAUCGUUGUACAAACCCAAAAAUUCUUUUUCGUGUUUUUCCUAAACCUCUUGGGAAAUGUCAUGUAUUUACAUCUGUUGAUUUCCUUACCUCUAGCCAAUACUAAAACUAAGUCGACAUCCUUUCCUCACUGAUUUUCAGCUGAAGAUGCCAUCUUGUCACCUCUGUCGAGACUGUUCCUAGCAUAUACAUCACCCCUUGUUCUCAGCCUUGAACAUAUUUUCAUUUGUGAAGUGAAUAUACUACAUAUAACAAAGUCAUGUCAAUAUCUUAUAUCAAGCUGAAUUUUGCAGCGCUGAAAAUGAGUGUAAUUCAUUCGAGAAGGGGUUUACUUUGCGCAUAUAGAUUCGAUCACCAAAACAUAUGAUUGAGUGUUUUAAGCUAUAUAUAUAUAUAUAUAUAACUUGAAUUUGCAAUCCAGGCUCAGGUAAGGCAGCAGGGUGACUUCGAGUCUGUUCACCGUGAUCUGGCAUUCGCCUUUGGGAAGUGGGAAUUCGACCCAACGGAGGUGAGAAACCCCUUUCCAGAAGGCGAAGGCUCGGUUCACCUGUGGC
Salvia splendens (bonfire salvia) is the source of this 1932-nucleotide RNA transcript. RefSeq lists it as uncharacterized. The record is from RefSeq and is a predicted model, not a curated record. The transcript has 3 exons. NCBI's taxonomy places the organism in Eukaryota, Viridiplantae, Streptophyta, Magnoliopsida, Lamiales, Lamiaceae.